Molecule: ribosomal RNA, 254 nt
Filed under: uncultured bacterium
Lineage: Bacteria
Description: partial 16S ribosomal RNA
Rfam family: Bacterial small subunit ribosomal RNA
Source: RNAcentral
UACGUAGGGGGCAAGCGUUAUCCGGAUUUACUGGGUGUAAAGGGAGCGUAGGUGGCAUGGUAAGCCAGAAGUGAAAACCCGGGGCUCAACCCCGCGGAUUGCUUUUGGAACUAUCAGGCUGGAGUGCUGGAGGGGUAAGCGGAAUUCCUAGUGUAGCGGUGAAAUGCGUAGAUAUUAGGAGGAACACCGGUGGCGAAGGCGGCUUACCGGACAGAAGCUGACACUGAGGCUCGAAAGCGUGGGGAGCAAACAGG